Homo sapiens (human) is the source of this 2138-nucleotide long non-coding RNA. Lineage: Eukaryota; Metazoa; Chordata; Mammalia; Primates; Hominidae. The record is from Ensembl.
ACGGACGUUCAGAGAAACUGCAAACCCUGACACCCUUAUGCACGAACGUUCAGAGAAACUGCAAACCCUGACAACUUUAUGCACGAACGUUCAGAGAAACUGCAAACCCUGACACCCUUAGGAGUGACAGAGAUGACUUCCAAAAGCAAGCAUUUUCUGGAUUGCUCUUCAGGGGUCUCCAGAACCAACUUGGUCAGGAAUCAAGGUGUCUUCAAGAUCUGCGAAUUUGAAGCCAUCAGCCACAAUGGAGCUUACCUCCACCUUUUCAAGCCUUCAUAGAACAAAAACAAGAUUCCCAACAAUUUCUUCCCAUCUGAUGACCUUUUGUUCUACUUCUCUGAGAAAAAUGAAGCAAUCAGAGAGGACUACCACAAACUUCUAAGACUAUAUAUAUUCUCUGGUGAUCUAUCUGCAUGCAGGUAUAUACACUCUACCUUUCUGCCUGUUGAUGUAGACAACUAUCCAUACUCCUCUCUAAAGCCAACCCCUCCACUUGUGAUGAGGUCCAAUCUCCACCCCUUGCUCACUCAAGGGCAAUGUUUUAGCAAUUUUCCUCUCUCUCCUCCACAUCAUCAAAUUAUAACUAUGAAAAUUUGCUGCUUUCUCCCUCUCCUUUGCAGAAAUAUUAAAAGAGGCAUCUGUAUUUGCCAUGUUCCCUUAUUUUCCCCAUUCUCUCUUAAACCCACUCCAGUGCAUCUUCCAUCCAACCACGUGCUGUUCUCAAGGGCACUAAUGAUCUCCCGGUUUAUAAAGCCAAUGUUUCUCUCUUGUCUUCAUUGUACUUGACCUAUUCUAUCAGCAGCAUUUGACACCACUGAUUACUCAUUCUGCUCUGGUGUACUUUCUUCAAUUGCUUCCAAGACACCAUAAAUUCUUCUGCCUUGCUGGCUGCCUUUGCUGGUUCCUCCUCUUCUCCCUGACCUCUUAAUGUUGGAGAACCACAGGGCUUAGUCCUUGGUCCUCUUCUCUCUUUUCUUUACACUGUGGUCCUCAGUGAGGGAGAUAGGUAGAUCCACUGUCCCGAUCUUAACCCAAAGAAAGACUUGCUGUCCAGCUACGGGGGCUGUGGUCAGAAGGCAGCCUCGAGCCUUCAGUUCCUGCAGGACCUGUCUCAGGGCAGAGGGCGGCAUCCCAGGGUAGGCCAUAUCUGGUGACUGAAUGAGGCAGGGAUAAAGGACUGGUCAUAUCAGCCUCUGCAGGACAAGGAUGAUGGGCAGUAUUAAUUCCAGAGCUUCCAGCCAGGUUGUUCUACACCACUGUUUGACUUCUCCACGCGGUCCUGCUUGCUUCCUCUUUCUUUUGCAGUUCAUCUAAAUGCCGUCUUCUUGCCUGUUUCUGGAGAAAUCAACCUACAACUCUUGGAGAUCCCCUCCGGUCUCAUGACUGCGAAUACUUUCCACAUGCUAACAACUCCCAAUGCAUGUCUCUAGCCAGUGCUUUUUCCCCUAGACUCCACAAUCGAAUACCGCACUGUGCACGUACACCCUCUGGGUAUCUUCCAGGUGCCUUUCCCAGCUGAGCUAAGGGCAAUUGAACCCUCCCAACUAUUCAGACCAAAAUACUUGGUGCCAUACUUGCCUUCCCUUUCCUUUCACAUCCCACAUCGAAUCAGUCGGAAAAUUCUGUUGCAUCCACUCUCCAAAUAUGUGCCAAUCCAAAUCUCUUCUCACCCCUUCCUGCUGCUGCCACUAUAAUCCGAGCCACCAUUCUCUACUAGAUUACGACAAAACCUCUGAACAAGUCUCCCUGUUUCCACUCUUGUCCUUCUACAAUCCAUCCUCAUCCAGGACCAUGGGGAUCCUUUUAAAGUAUAAAUUAGAUCACAGCAUUCCUCCGCUCAAGGGGUAAAAGCCAAACUCCCUAGAGGGACCCACAAAGCAUAUCACCCCUCUGGCCUCGUUAUUACUUCUCUGUCCUCAUCUCCUGCUGCUUCUCCCCUUGUUCAUGCCACUGAAGCCACACUUGGCCUCCUCGAUGUUCCCUGAACUUUCCAGACACACUCCCUCUUUCUGGAACAUUCCAGGUAGGCUGCUAAUUUCUUUAUAUUCUUUUAGUCUUCAUUCAAAUGGUACCAUCUCAUCACUAUACCCUAAUCUACCCCGCUUACCUCCCAGAACUGCCCACCCACCCAAAGCAGG